RNAcentral lists this non-coding RNA (24 nucleotides) under Arabidopsis thaliana (thale cress). The record is from RNAcentral. Lineage: Eukaryota; Viridiplantae; Streptophyta; Magnoliopsida; Brassicales; Brassicaceae.
GGUAAGCUUCAUUUGGACUCUUUA